Molecule: ribosomal RNA, 448 nt
Filed under: uncultured bacterium
Lineage: Bacteria
Description: bacterial SSU rRNA
Rfam family: Bacterial small subunit ribosomal RNA
Source: RNAcentral
GAUGAACGCUGGCGGCGUGCUUAACACAUGCAAGUCGAGCGAAGCAGUUAAGAAGAUUCUUCGGAUGAUUCUUAACUGACUGAGCGGCGGACGGGUGAGUAACGCGUGGGUGACCUGCCCCAUACCGGGGGAUAACAGCUGGAAACGGCUGCUAAUACCGCAUAAGCGCACAGAGCUGCAUGGCUCGGUGUGAAAAACUCCGGUGGUAUGGGAUGGGCUCGCGUCUGAUUAGGCAGUUGGCGGGGUAACGGCCCACCAAACCGACGAUCAGUAGCCGGCCUGAGAGGGCGACCGGCCACAUUGGGACUGAGACACGGCCCAAACUCCUACGGGAGGCAGCAGUGGGGAAUAUUGCACAAUGGGGGAAACCCUGAUGCAGCGACGCCGCGUGAGCGAAGAAGUAUUUCGGUAUGUAAAGCUCUAUCAGCAGGGAAGAUAAUGACGGUAC